This 174-nucleotide long non-coding RNA is filed under the name Chrysemys picta bellii (western painted turtle). RNAcentral describes it as "lncRNA (ENSCPBG00000019520.1)". Lineage: Eukaryota; Metazoa; Chordata; Testudines; Emydidae. The record is from RNAcentral.
GGGAAAGAUUUUGAUCGCGUGAGAAAGAAGCCAUUUGGAAAGCAGGAUUGCUGUAGGAUCUGAAAGAUCUCAUCCUGUAGGAUUUGACCAUGCAUCUUUGAACUUGAAUCUCUAGAGAUGAAUGAACUACCCAGAACCUGGAGUUUAUAUGCCUAGGAAGAAGGUGUGCCCCCU